Molecule: ribosomal RNA, 222 nt
Filed under: uncultured bacterium
Lineage: Bacteria
Description: partial 16S ribosomal RNA
Rfam family: Bacterial small subunit ribosomal RNA
Source: RNAcentral
CAACGUAAGCAACCUGCCCGAAAGACCGGGACAACAGCUCGAAAGGGCUGCUAAUACCGGAUGUGUCCACCUUGCCUCAUGGCUUGGUGAGUAAAUCAUUUAUGGCUUUCGGAGGGGCUUGCGGCCUAUCAGCUAGAUGGCGGUGUAACGGACCACCAUGGCGACGACGGGUAGCUGGUCUGAGAGGAUGGUCAGCCGGACUGGGACUGAGAUACGGCCCAG